GAACUGAAGAGUUUGAUCAUGGCUCAGAUUGAACGCUGGCGGCAGGCCUAACACAUGCAAGUCGAGCGGAUGAGAGGAGCUUGCUCCUGGAUUCAGCGGCGGACGGGUGAGUAAUGCCUAGGAAUCUGCCUGGUAGUGGGGGACAACGUUUCGAAAGGAACGCUAAUACCGCUACGUCCUACGGGAGAAAGCAGGGGACCUUCGGGCCUUGCGCUAUCAGAUGAGCCUAGUCGGAUUAGCUAGUUGGUGAGGUAAUGGCUCACCAAGGCGACGAUCCGUAACUGGUCUGAGAGGAUGAUCAGUCACACUGGAACUGAGACACGGUCCAGACUCCUACGGGAGGCAGCAGUGGGGAAUAUUGGACAAUGGGCGAAAGCCUGAUCCAGCCAUGCCGCGUGUGUGAAGAAGGUCUUCGGAUUGUAAAGC
This 426-nucleotide ribosomal RNA is filed under the name Pseudomonas moraviensis. RNAcentral describes it as "bacterial SSU rRNA". It matches the Rfam family "Bacterial small subunit ribosomal RNA", at positions 1 to 431 of the family's 1533-position model. Lineage: Bacteria; Pseudomonadati; Pseudomonadota; Gammaproteobacteria; Pseudomonadales; Pseudomonadaceae. The record is from RNAcentral.